GUCUAUUUGGAGGUAUAAAAAGUCUGGCCUGCCCACUGAUAAUUUUUUAAAGGGCCGCGGUAAUCUGACCGUGCAAAGGUAGCAUAAUCGUUAGUUUUUUAAUUGGAAUCUUGUAUGAAUGGUUGAACAAAAGAAUAACUGUCUCUAUACUUCUUUUGAAUUUAACUUUUGAGUGAAAAGGCUCAAAUGUUUUAAGAAGACGAUAAGACCCUGUAAAGCUUUAAUAAAUUUUUAUUAUUAAGUAAAAUUUAAUGAUGUAUAAAAAUUUAGUUUUAAAUGUUUAUUUUGUUGGGGCGACAAUAAUAUAAUGUUUAUUAACUGUUUUUCCUAAAGACAUAUUUAUUGAUUAACAAUAUAAAUGAUCCUUAUUUGAAGAUUAAAAGUUCAAGUUACUUCAGGGAUAACAGCGUUAUUUUUUUUAAGAGUUCAUAUCGAAAAAAAAGUUUGCGACCUCGAUGUUGAAUUAAAGUUUCUUUAUAAUUGCAGAAGUUAUAUUAGAGGGUCUGUUCGACCUUUAAACCUUUACAUGAUUUGAGUUCAGACCGGCGCGAG
RNAcentral lists this ribosomal RNA (552 nucleotides) under Austruca triangularis. Its description in RNAcentral is "partial 16S rRNA". It matches the Rfam family "Bacterial large subunit ribosomal RNA", at positions 1831 to 2625 of the family's 2925-position model. Lineage: Eukaryota; Metazoa; Arthropoda; Malacostraca; Decapoda; Ocypodidae. The record is from RNAcentral.